AUGAAUCUCUUAGCCUGGAACUGUCGAGGGUUGGGGUUGGACUCGACAGUGGGCGAACUAAGGGACCUGAUUAGGUCAUACAAACCAGCGGUGGUGUUUCUUAGUGAGACGAAGAAAAGGGGGGAGUCUAUGAAUAUUCUUAGGAGGAGAUUGGGGUUCCAGCACGGUCAACACGUUAACUGUGUGGGCAAAAGUGGAGGAUUAGCAUUAUGGUGGCGAGAUGGUGUGGAUGUUACUCUAAGACGAUGG
This 249-nucleotide ribosomal RNA is filed under the name Triticum aestivum (bread wheat). RNAcentral's name for it is "partial small subunit ribosomal RNA". The record is from RNAcentral. Lineage: Eukaryota; Viridiplantae; Streptophyta; Magnoliopsida; Poales; Poaceae.